GGAGGAAAAGAAACUAACAAGGAUUCCCCUAGUAACUGCGAGUGAAGCGGGAAAAGCUCAAAUUUAAAAUCUGGCAGUCUUUGAUUGUCCGAGUUGUAAACUAGAGAAGUGUUAUCCGCGCUGGACCGUGUAAAAGUCUCCUGGAAUGGAGCAUCAUAGAGGGUGAGAAUCCCGUCUUUGACAUGGACUACCAGUGCUUUGUGAUGCGCUCUCAAAGAGUCGAGUUGUUUGGGAAUGCAGCUCAAAAUGGGUGGUAAAUUCCAUCUAAAGCUAAAUAUUGGCGAGAGACCGAUAGCGAACAAGUACCGUGAGGGAAAGAUGAAAAGAACUUUGGAAAGAGAGUUAAACAGUACGUGAAAUUGCUGAAAGGGAAACGCUUGAAGUCAGUCGCGUCGGCCAGGAAUCAACCUUGCUUUUGCUGGGCGUACUUUCUGGUUGAUGGGUCAGCAUCAAUUUUGACUGCUGGAAAAAGUUCAAGGGAAUGUGGCAUCUUCGGAUGUGUUAUAGCCCUUGUUCGCAUACAGCAGUUGGGAUUGAGGUACUCAGCACGCCGCAAGGCCGGGUUUCGACCACGUUCGUGCUUAGGAUGCUGGCAUAAUGGCUUUAAUCGACCCGUCUUGAAACACGGACCAAGGAGUCUAACAUGCCUGCGAGUGUUUGGGUGGAAAACCCAAGCGCGCAAUGAAAGUAAAAGUUGAGAUCCCUGUCAUGGGGAGCAUCGACGCCCGGACCAGAGCUUUUGUGACGGAUCUGCGGUAGAGCAUGUAUGUUGGGACCCGAAAGAUGGUGAACUAUGCCUGAAUAGGGUGAAGCCAGAGGAAACUCUGGUGGAGGCUCGUAGCGAUUCUGACGUGCAAAUCGAUCGUCAAAUUUGGGUAUAGGGGCGAAAGACUAAUCGAA
RNAcentral lists this ribosomal RNA (900 nucleotides) under Bolbitius titubans. RNAcentral's name for it is "eukaryotic LSU rRNA". It matches the Rfam family "Eukaryotic large subunit ribosomal RNA", at positions 52 to 939 of the family's 3401-position model. Lineage: Eukaryota; Fungi; Basidiomycota; Agaricomycetes; Agaricales; Bolbitiaceae. The record is from RNAcentral.